Rhopalosiphum padi (bird cherry-oat aphid) is the source of this 747-nucleotide long non-coding RNA. RefSeq lists it as uncharacterized. The record is from RefSeq and is a predicted model, not a curated record. Lineage: Eukaryota; Metazoa; Arthropoda; Insecta; Hemiptera; Aphididae. The transcript is spliced from 3 exons.
AAUGAUUUAUUUCACUAUCACGCGCAAAUUUCAGUCAGCACCUACCUAUCUAAUAAACGCGCUAUUAAAAAAAAUAUUAAAACGACUUGUCGACUCUGGUAUACGUAUACCUAACAAAAACCAACUACUAAGUAAGUAUAAGCAAAUGUAAUAAUAUACCCACAAAUGGCCAUGAAGUGCUCGAAAUCUAAGACUACGAUCGACGUGUUUAACCUCAACAGAGGUUAAAAUACCAUUCAAUGAAUCGUUCGGCGUGGGAAUAAGCGUCAACACACGCGUACAUCGAUCAUUACUAUCAGGCCCCGUUUUAAGAACCAUUGACGCGCGGCAAGUCGGCGGGCGGUCGCGAGUCACGCGCUAGACGUUCGCUGCUCAGGUGUUGGGUUUGGGACUUGGCAGUAGUUGUCGUUGGGACUGUUGGGUCAUAGUCGUCACCCGUCACCGCAGAGACAUCGAUACUACGAGAGCGGAUCAUGUCUGGAGCUGAAUCGACCGAAAGUCAGCGCCCCAAGGUCGUAUACGUGUUCAGCGGCAAGCGGAAAUGCGGAAAAGAUUACAUCACGGACGCGAUCCACGAAAGGUGUUGACAAUGCAGCAUCAGAAUGUGAUUUGGAUGACUAUUUAGAAUGGGAUUGGAUUGUUGAAAAUAACAAAUUUAAUGAUUGCAAUGAAUUUAUAAAUAAAAUUGUGAAUCAUGCACUAUCAGUUCAAUGAUAUUUAUUAUAUUAUGUACCUACAAAUAUUGUA